AGUGGAGACCGCGCGUGUUGGGACAGACAUCAGCCGGCGGAGGGGGCCAAGCCCACGACUAACGAGUGAUGUCACCCACCAGCGCAGGGAGAAAAGUGCUGAGCGCCGGUGAAAGAACUCUCUUCUGGUGUCCACGCAUGCAGACCCUGUGCUGUGGGGAAGGCCUGCUGGAGUGCCCCUAACUUCCAAGGAAGACCAGUGCCCCACAGGACAUCGGCAUCUCCACGGCCAAGGCGGCACCUGAAUCGGGUGCGGGCGAGGCCUUGGGCACCAGGAGAGACCAGCGUCCCUGCCAGCAGAGCCUUUCUCCUCCCUGUCACCUCCUGUCACAUGUGAACUUUUACUGAGCGCCUGCCUUUCGGUGGUCCCAAGAAAUCCAGCUGCCUGCCUGCCUGUGGAGAACAGCCGGCGAGUCCUUUCUGACGAAGGUCACGGUCUCUGGAAAGUUCGGGGGGUGUUCCCGCUGCAGACCCAUGGGCAAGGACGCAGCACAUCCAGCUCCCACUCAGUGAGGAAAGGAGCUGAAGGCACACGCGCUGACAAACUGGGAGAGAGACUCGCGCUGAGGACUGCCGCAGCCUGCCCAGCUCGCGCAGGGGCCUGUCCUUGGACACCUCCGGCUG
Molecule: long non-coding RNA, 623 nt
Organism: Lepus europaeus (European hare)
Lineage: Eukaryota; Metazoa; Chordata; Mammalia; Lagomorpha; Leporidae
Exons: 4
Source: RefSeq, a predicted model, not a curated record